RNAcentral lists this ribosomal RNA (1235 nucleotides) under marine metagenome. Its description in RNAcentral is "bacterial LSU rRNA". It matches the Rfam family "Bacterial large subunit ribosomal RNA", at positions 1714 to 2925 of the family's 2925-position model. The record is from RNAcentral.
UAGGCAAAAUGACACCGUAACUUCGGGAGAAGGUGUACUCUUGUUAUGUGAAAUCACUCGCUGAUAGAGCAGAAAAGAGUUGAAAAUACUAGGUGGCUGCGACUGUUUAUUAAAAACACAGCACUCUGCAAACACGUAAGUGGACGUAUAGGGUGUGACUCCUGCCCGGUGCUUGAAGGUUAAUUGAUGAGGUUAGCGCUUGCGCGAAGCUUUUGAUCGAAGCCCAAGUAAACGGCGGCCGUAACUAUAACGGUCCUAAGGUAGCGAAAUUCCUUGUCGGGUAAGUUCCGACCUGCACGAAUGGAGUAACGACGGCCACACUGUCUCCACCCGAGACUCAGUGAAAUUGAAAUUGCUGUUAAGAUGCAGUAUACCCGCGGCCAGACGGAAAGACCCCGUGCACCUUUACUACAGCUUUGCAUUGAACUCUGAUCCUACUUGUGUAGGAUAGGUGGGAGGCUUUGAAGCUUUAACGCUAGUUAGAGUGGAGCCAUCCUUGAAAUACCACCCUGGUAUGGUUGGGGUUCUAACCUAGGUCCGUAAUCCGGAUCGGGAACAAUGCAUGGUGGGUAGUUUGACUGGGGCGGUCUCCUCCCAAAGAGUAACGGAGGAGCGCAAAGGUAUCCUCAGCACGGUCGGACAUCGUGCAAUGAGCGCAAAGGUAAAAGGAUGCUUGACUGCGAGACUGACACGUCGAGCAGGUAGGAAACUAGGUCUUAGUGAUCCGGUGGUUCUGAGUGGAAGGACCAUCGCUCAACGGAUAAAAGGUACGCCGGGGAUAACAGGCUGAUACCCCCCAAGAGUUCACAUCGACGGGGGUGUUUGGCACCUCGAUGUCGGCUCAUCACAUCCUGGGGCUGAAGCAGGUCCCAAGGGUAUGGCUGUUCGCCAUUUAAAGUGGUACGCGAGCUGGGUUUAGAACGUCGUGAGACAGUUCGGUCCCUAUCUACCGUGGGCGUUGGAGACUUGAGGGAAGCUGUUCUUAGUACGAGAGGACCGGAAUGGACACACCUCUGGUGUUUCGGUUGUGACGCCAGUCGCAUUGCCGAGUAGCUAUGUGUGGAAAGGAUAACCGCUGAAAGCAUCUAAGCGGGAAGCCCCUCCCAAGAUUAGGUCUCCCUAAUUAUUUAAUAAUUCUAAAGAUCCCUCGAAGACUACGAGGUUGAUAGGCUAGGUGUGGAAGUGCAGCAAUGUAUGAAGCUAACUAGUACUAAUUGAUCGUGAGGCUUGACCAU